Molecule: long non-coding RNA, 2316 nt
Organism: Anolis carolinensis (green anole)
Lineage: Eukaryota; Metazoa; Chordata; Lepidosauria; Squamata; Anolidae
Exons: 4
Source: RefSeq, a predicted model, not a curated record
UUCCGGGUUUUUACCUGCCACUUUUUUCUCACACUUGCUGAGGUGUUCCUGAGAGUAUCUCUGUAGACCUUAGAAAGCUCUUGAUUUAAGACGUUGGCAUGCUGGCUGAUAUCCGAACAAAGGAUGGGCCAGAGAUAUCAAUGCCUUCCCGACGGAUAUCAGGUGACACAAUAUCGGAUAAACAGUAUUAUUUCUCCAGCAGUGUAGGGCAUAGACUUCCUGUGAUAAUGCGGCAUGUUUCAUUAAGAGCCACAUCCACUGUUUUAACAUGGAGAAAUGUAUUCCACACUGGGCAUGCAUAUUCAGCAGCAUAGUAGCAAACCGCAAGGGUGGAGGUCUUCACUAUAUCUGGUUGUGAUCCCAAGGUUGUGCCAGUCAGUUUUCGUAUGAUAUUAUUUCUAGCACCCACUUUUUGCUUGGUAUUCAAGCAGUGCUUCUUGUACAUCAGAGCAUGGUCUAACUGCAAUGUGCUGCAAUGCUCCAGUGGAAUUCCUUCCCAGGUAAUGCUCAGAGCUUGAGAUGCUUCUCUGUUCUUAAGAUGAUUCCAUCGCAUUGAGCCACGGUAGUAAAAAUGGUGUCAUACUACAUUAAUUUAACAGUGUAGAAACACCUAAAGUCUCAGUUGUCCAUGCAAGAAUAACUUUCUUCUGAUCAGCCAUCAAAUGUACUAUUCCAUUUUAAUUUUAAAAACAGUAAUGUGACCCUCAUUCCUCCAAGUGAUUUUUUUUAAAUGAUGUUUAUUUCGCUUUUAGUUGUACAUAAAAUUUGGGGUUGUAGGGGAGGGGGAGGGGGGGUUAUGAAAGGCAGGGGAAGAGGUGAAGGGGGGGAGGUUAAAGGAAAGGGGAUAGGAGAGGGGGGUAGUGUUACUUCCAAGUGAUUUUUGUGUGUGCCACAUCUAUAUAUAUAAAAGGGUAAUGAAAUUUCGGCCUAGGACAAAACAACAAAACUACACAUCCCAGAAACACUAAACUUGGCAGCAUAACCCCUCUUCCAUGCCUCUACAUUCAUACAACAAAAAGCUCCAUCUACUCCAGAAAACGGCCAGGCUUUGAGACUGCAAGGCUAUUCACUGCUAUUCCACCUGGCCAACAAAGGAUUCCCAUAAGCCACAGCAACUCGUGGCCGGGCAAAGCUAGUAGUAUAUAUUUUAAAACAGGCUGUUUCAAACAUCCCGUCCAAAUACCAAGUAAAGUCCCUCCAGCUAUUUUAUGCAAUGGGGAAAGAAACAUAUAGAUAGAAGCUUAAAUGUAUUUAUAAGAUUUGGGGUACUUCAGUCUACUGGGAUGAAGUGGGUGCUGCCCAUGAAAGCUUGUGCCAAAGGAAACUUGUAAGUUUGUAAGAUGUUAUGUGACUCUUCAUUAUGAGCAGAAAUAUGAAUCACAUAUCUAUGUAGCCCUUCAAAGUUUCAAAAUGCUAAGUGAUUUCGAUAAUGUAAAAAAAGAGAAAGGAAAUCCAUGAGUGAUUUCUUAGCUGUCAAGUCACCUUUCAACAUGUACUUGGAGGAAUUCAUUAAGACCCAUGGCCUUUCUGAAGAGUUCACUGCUAAAAUUUGAAUGCGAAGGAAAGGGACUGCAUUGUUCAGCAAGUCACGAUCCCGGCUUUUGGUUGUUAUGUAUCUUAUGGGAACUAGGGCAGCUUAAGAGUGGAUUAAUGCUGAAAGAACAUCUGAAUUUGAAAAUCUGCUUCCAGCGCACACACCAGCCAUCUCAGCAUUGUCACCUUUGUUAAAAGAAAAACCCUUGGAUGCAGAGCAGGCAUGGAGAGCCCCCAAAUAAGCAGGAGAAUAAAUUUGCAAGUGCCUUUGCCCUGGUCUGUCUCCACCAUCUGGAAGUUAAUUAAUUAGAGGGUCUGGAAGGGUUGAACUGUGCUGUCAGGAGAAAGAAACUUCGUUCUGGUGAAAGUGAGCCUGGAAAGGAAAAGGGUGUUGCCCAUAACACACACCCGAACUACUUGAUAACAGAUGAUAUAGGAAAACAUGAUGCUGCCACAGGAGACUGAUUUGAAACUUCUACACCAAAAGACUGUGUUGGUGUUUGCUGUCAAGUUGACUUCAACCUUUGGUGACUCUGUGAAUGAGAAAUACAACAAAAGCCAAAAUCCAGAAAAGAAUGAUAGCUUUAUUGCCCAAACGAAAUGCAUAAAAUACAUCAUGCAAGCUUUUGAAGCUUCAUUGGUUUCGUAAUCACACAAGGAUAUACAAAUCAUACGGUAGAGGAAAAGUGAUAAUAUAUGAUGGAGUCAGCAAAGUUUUGAAAGCUUGCAUUAUGUAUUUUGUGUAUUUUGGUAGCUCAAUAAAGGUCUGUUGUGGAUUUUAGA